AGUUUUAAUGGCCGCAGUAUUUUGACUGUGCAAAGGUAGCAUAAUCAUUAGUCUAUUAAUUGUGGACUUGUAUGAAUGGUUGGACGAAAUAUUAACUGUCUCAUAUUUAAUAUUAUAAUUUAAAUUUUGAGUUAAAAUGCUUAAAUUUUAUUAUAGGACGAGAAGACCCUAUAGAUCUUUAUUAUAUUAUGUAUUUAUAUUUUUUGAUUAUUUUUUUUUAAAUUUAUAUUAUUGUUUUGUUGGGGUGACAUGGAGAUAUAAUUAACUCUUUAUUUUAUAUACAUAAAUUUAUGUUUAUUUGACCUUUUAUUAAUGUUAUAAGAUAUAGAUACCUUAGGGAUAACAGCGUAAUUUUAUUUGAGAGUUCAUAUUGACAAUAAAGAUUGCGACCUCGAUGUUGGAUUAAGAAAAAUUUUAGGUGUAGGUGCUUAAAUUAUUAAGUCUGUUCGACUUUUAAAUUCUUACAUGAUCUGAGUUCA
Molecule: ribosomal RNA, 479 nt
Filed under: Trachythorax sp. SB0537
Lineage: Eukaryota; Metazoa; Arthropoda; Insecta; Phasmatodea; Lonchodidae
Description: partial large subunit ribosomal RNA
Rfam family: Bacterial large subunit ribosomal RNA
Source: RNAcentral